AGAAGAGGGGGAGUAAGUUAUAUGUAAUUAGAUAGACAGAUAGAUUGACUUGGGAACUUAUGUGUGAAACUGGUAACAGCUGACACCCAGAGUACUAACAGAGUGGCUCUAAGAAUGAACUAAGACAGAAUUAAGGAAAAAGGGAAUAAAGGAGAUAGAUGAUAUGGGGAGCUCAAAGAAUGAACUAGGACACAGAUAAUUAAGAAGAAAGGGAAUAAAGGAGAUAGACAGAUAAGGGGAGCUCAAAGAAUGAACUAGGACACAGAUAAUUAAGAAGAAAGGGAAUAAAGGAGAUAGACAGGUAAGGGGAGCUCAAAGAAUGAACUAGGACACAGAUAAUUAAGAAGAAAGGGAAUAAAGGAGAUAGACAGAUAAGGGGAGCUCAAAGAAUGAACUAGGACACAGAUAAUUAAGAAGAAAGGGAAUAAAGGAGAUAGACAGAUAAGGGGAGCUCAAAGAAUGAACUAGGACACAGAUAAUUAAGAAGAAAGGGAAUAAAGGA
This is a long non-coding RNA of Eriocheir sinensis (Chinese mitten crab), 502 nucleotides long. RefSeq lists it as uncharacterized. The record is from RefSeq and is a predicted model, not a curated record. Lineage: Eukaryota; Metazoa; Arthropoda; Malacostraca; Decapoda; Varunidae. The transcript has 3 exons.